CUAAAAGCCUUGGUGACUAAAAGCUUUUGUUUAUCCACAGACCAGACACAGCAGGCAGAAAGAGUGUGAGCUUCCCUAUGCUGUCUUCCAAUGUGCCUCAAGACUGAUCUAGAGGGGUGAGAGGAUAGUUCACUGUGGCCCACUGAAUCCUUGAUUUAA
Molecule: small RNA, 159 nt
Filed under: Chrysemys picta bellii (western painted turtle)
Lineage: Eukaryota; Metazoa; Chordata; Testudines; Emydidae
Description: TUC338 (ENSCPBG00000013268.1)
Source: RNAcentral